Molecule: ribosomal RNA, 275 nt
Filed under: uncultured Ohtaekwangia sp.
Lineage: Bacteria; Pseudomonadati; Bacteroidota; Cytophagia; Cytophagales; Fulvivirgaceae
Description: partial 16S ribosomal RNA
Rfam family: Bacterial small subunit ribosomal RNA
Source: RNAcentral
CCUACGGGUGGCUGCAGUAGGGAAUAUUGGACAAUGGGUGCGAGCCUGAUCCAGCCAUGCCGCGUGCAGGAAGAAGGCCUUCUGGGUUGUAAACUGCUUUUGCCAGGGGAUAAAAUAGCUAUGCGUAGCGAAUUGAAGGUACCUGGUGAAUAAGCCACGGCUAACUACGUGCCAGCAGCCGCGGUAAUACGUAGGUGGCAAGCGUUGUCCGGAUUUAUUGGGUUUAAAGGGUGCGUAGGUUGUUUUGUAAGUCAGUGGUGAAAUCCGGCAGCUUA